UUCCGGUUGAUCCUGCCGGACCCUACUGCUGUCGGGGUGGGACUAAGACAUGCAAGUUGAGCGUCUCUAGGCUAUGGUAGAGACGCGGCAUACGGCUCAGUAGCACGUGGCCAACCUAUCCUUAGGACGGGGACAACCCCGGGAAACUGGGACUAAUAUUCGAUAGAUUAGGAGGCCUGGAAUGGUUCUUAGUCGAAAGGGCUUUGAAACCAUGCUUUUCAACGUCGCCUAAGGAUGGGGCCGCGCCCGAUCAGGCUGUUGGUGGGGUAAUGGCUCACCAAACCUAUAACCGGUGCGGGCCGUGAGAGCGGGAGCCCGGAGAUGGGCACUGAGACAAGGGCCCAGGCCCUACGGGGCGCAGCAGUCGCGAAAACUCCGCAAUGCGCGAAAGCGUGACGGGGCUACCCCGAGUGCCGUCCGCUGAGGAUGGCUUUUCCCCGGUGUAAUGAGCCGGGGGAAUAAGGAGAGGGCAAGUCUGGUGUCAGCCGCCGCGGUAAUACCAGCUCUCCGAGUGGUAGGGACGAUUAUUGGGCUUAAAGCGUCCGUAGCCGGCUUAGCAAGUCUCCUGUUAAAUUCAGCGACCUAAUCGUUGAGCCGCGGGAGAUACUACUAGGCUAGGAGGCGGGAGAGGCCGACGGUAUUCUCGGGGUAGGGGCGAAAUCCUAUAAUCCCGGGAGGACCACCAGUGGCGAAGGCUGUCGGCUAGAACGCGCUCGACGGUGAGGGACGAAAGCUGGGGGAGCGAACCGGAU
RNAcentral lists this ribosomal RNA (752 nucleotides) under uncultured archaeon. RNAcentral describes it as "bacterial SSU rRNA". It matches the Rfam family "Archaeal small subunit ribosomal RNA", at positions 1 to 729 of the family's 1478-position model. The record is from RNAcentral.